AAGGAUGGACCUGGAGGGCAUUAUAGUAACAAAGGUGAAGGAAAUCAUCCAAGUGAUCCAUCAUACAGUACUUCCAGUUCCAAAGCAUACUGACUUACUUCAGAUCUGUCCCUAAUGCUUUAUUAGUCACCUAUAGGCCUGUUCUCAGUUAUGUGGGCUCCAAGGAGGGGGUCACCACUCAC
Cervus elaphus (red deer) is the source of this 182-nucleotide long non-coding RNA. RefSeq lists it as uncharacterized. NCBI's taxonomy places the organism in Eukaryota, Metazoa, Chordata, Mammalia, Artiodactyla, Cervidae. The record is from RefSeq and is a predicted model, not a curated record. The transcript has 3 exons.